GAGCGAACGCUGGCGGCAGGCUUAACACAUGCAAGUCGAGCGGGCGUAGCAAUACGUCAGCGGCAGACGGGUGAGUAACGCGUGGGAACAUACCUUUUGGUUCGGACAACACAGGGAAACUUGUGCUAAUACCGGAUAAGCCCUUACGGGGAAGAUUAUCGCCGAAGAUUGGCCCGCGUCUGAUUAGCUAGUUGGUGAGGUAAUGGCUCACCAAGGCGACGAUCAGUAGCUGGUCUGAGAGGAUGAUCAGCCACAUUGGG
This 260-nucleotide ribosomal RNA is filed under the name uncultured bacterium. RNAcentral describes it as "partial 16S ribosomal RNA". It matches the Rfam family "Bacterial small subunit ribosomal RNA", at positions 27 to 317 of the family's 1533-position model. The record is from RNAcentral.